This is a long non-coding RNA of Mustela lutreola (European mink), 2774 nucleotides long. RefSeq lists it as uncharacterized. The record is from RefSeq and is a predicted model, not a curated record. The transcript is spliced from 3 exons. Lineage: Eukaryota; Metazoa; Chordata; Mammalia; Carnivora; Mustelidae.
GCUCUCACCUGCUGUCCUCUCCUCCAGGUCACAGUCAGAGAUAGUGACAUGAGGGCCACCAAAGAUCAAAGAGGUCCUGGGGUUUCCCCUUCCCCUACUCUUCAUUCCUAGCCUCCUCUGGCACCCUUUCCCCCGGGGCCAAGCCAAGCCAGGAGUCCACGGGGCCCAAGGUGGUGCCUGGGAUGCCCGGACAGUGCCAGGGGCAGCCCUUGUGCCAUCCUCCCACUGGCUUCCCUCCCGCCUGCUCUCAGCCGUCACACAGAUCUCAGCUGUCCAAUCUGAUUAGGGCCCCUGUCCAGUGAGCCGGACAAGGAGGCCACUGGGCAGGGGAGAGACAGGGACAAGGGCGCUGAGCAGGGAUGGCAGAAGGAAGGUGGAGACAGGGCUCAGGGGAGAAGGUGUGGAGCCCCAGAGGAAGAAAAGCCUCGUGGAGAGCUCUGUCCUCUCUGACCACAGGCUCUCUGGUGACAGCUACCCCCUGCAUUAGGGUAAUUCUACGGCCUGCCUGGUUCUGCCUUCCCACAGAUGGGCAAGGAUGGGGGGAAGGAAAGCCAAGGCAGGGAGACUGACCUAGAUUUAGGAAAAGAAUCUUGUCUUAGAAACCCCACUGCCCCCUCAUAACUACCAUUUGCACCUAGCUGUCUGAUAUAUUGUCUUACGGGGUCUUUAUAGAGGUGUCCCUAUCAGGCAAGUGGGGCCUGCUACUGACCGCCGUGUGUUUACAAAUGAAGAAACUAAGUCUGCUGUCUUCCUGGUGUUGGCCUCACUGAAAUAAAUUCUUUUCUUGUCUCACCAAAACAGCAAAAACAAGAAAACAAAAGAAAAGGGAGAGAAAGACAGGAAGGAAGGAAGAAAGGAAGGAAAGAUGAAAGAGAGAAAGAAAGAACAAACUAAGCCGUUAGGGUAAAUCACACACCCGCUCACACUCAGAAGCUCUGCUUCCUGGGUCAAGAGCAGAAUUAAGUCUGAAGUCACUCCCUUAUCCACCCUUUCCUCCAAAACCAACCCUUAGGGGACCUGGGGAGUCAUGGAGAAGAGCAAAGCACACCCCACACCUCAAGGGAGCUACCAGAUGGGGACAAGCCGCCCACUCCACCAGACACAGAGCUAGAGGGGUUCCCCCAAAGCGUGACCAGUCUUUCCUAUCACUCUCUUCCUCAGUCAGCUACGCUCAGAGGCGAUACACACAUUCACACAGUUACUCAGACAAGUCAUACGGCCCUCCUGCAAACCCACUAAACCAGAAUGAGAUGCCCUAGAUCUUCAGAGAGCAGGCUUUGUCAGCCCCCGACUGGAGGGAAAAAUCAGCCGCUGUAAACAGUGGGUGCCAUUCAGCCCUUUCCCAGAGAGCCUGCAGGCGCGCAGGAGCUUGGGGGUAACACCAGGAGCCUGAGACUCUGGAAGGCAAGGCAUCCAGGGAGCUGGCCCGGCGGGGUGGCCUCCCUGAUCUGGUCUACACCCCCUUCCCCAGCCAUCUGGGCUGAGCCUGUUCUGGCCUGGGCCACACUCUGGGACUUCUCCCCUUCCAUGCAUACAGCCACCUUUUAUGCAAAGCUUAUAGAUCUUAAAACCACAUCGUCUAAACACACACACAAACACACACACACACACUGGGGUGAGGGGCUUGUCUUUGCAAUAGGUGCUGAGGUCGUGGCAGGGAUGGGGUUCUAAGCUGAAAGAACUUUCCCUAGAGGAACAGGUCACCAAAAACCACUCACAACCUCCACUACCCUCCAGCAAAGCCUUUAGCCCCCCAAGUGUAAGAGGAGCCUGGAAAGGGGCAUUCGUUCCCCUACAAGGCGCCCCGCUCCACCUCUGUGCAGAGACACCAGCAAUGUGUGCCUCCUGAAUAGAACCGACCUGGAGAUGGAGAGAAAGGGAGUGCCUUCCUCGGUUCAUUUGUCCGUUCAUUCAACAUUGUUUACUGAAUACCUCCCAGGUCCUGGACACUGUCCUAAGUGCUGGGGACAGACACAAAUCUAAAACUCUAUGGAAGUUUCAUCUGCUUCUUUGAAGAAAAAUAAAUCAAGAUAUAGACAUAUAUCCCACCACCUUCAAGAGGGAGAAUGUGGGUCAGCAUCUUUGCCUCUACUCUGUGUGAAAACCGGCUACAAUCCUGGCAGAAACUAGUAACCACAAGCCCAGCCCAUCCCUCUAAAAAUCCCACUACCUUCCCAUAGCUCUCAGCUUCAGUGAGAAAAGCCAGCAAGAAAAGGACUUUUCUUCCUCUUCUGUCUGCUCCCCGGCUGUCUGAAUUACACUUAAGACUUCACUGACAAACAUACAUCAGCUUUUGCUCCCACAAGGGCAGCGGAAGCCAAGCAGGGACUCUAAGUCGGCUUCACGCAUCACUGACAGAACCAACCCUGUUCCAAUUGCUGAAGUCUUAAGAGCAGCAAUGACCUAGAAAUUGACAGUGGGGGGAGAACUGAAGGAAAGGAAACCAACAACCCAGUAGAGGGAAAACCCUAUUUCCAAAUACCAGGGGAAAGGAAGAGAAAAGAGGUAAAGGGGAAAGAAAUUUGGCCCUUUCGAAUCUGUAAAUGCGAUCUUGGCUCUGAGCCAUGGAGGAUACAUAGCAGCCCCACUGCGAGUCAAGCCAUGUUCCUGACUCAAGCCCUACAGUUAAGAGGAAGGCGCCAAGCCUCAAACACAACGAGGUGGGGAGGCCGCUCCUUUCUGGGCAGGAUCCUACUGUGGACACAGAACAGACAGCAGCUGCCCACAGUGUGGAAACAAACUGUAAAGCAGUCACGUCUCUUAAGGCUGCAGCA